This 512-nucleotide ribosomal RNA is filed under the name uncultured bacterium. RNAcentral describes it as "partial 16S ribosomal RNA". It matches the Rfam family "Bacterial small subunit ribosomal RNA", at positions 28 to 523 of the family's 1533-position model. The record is from RNAcentral.
GACGAACGCUGGCGGCGUGCUUAACACAUGCAAGUCGAACGGAGAUUCAGCAAUGGAUCUUAGUGGCGAACGGGUGAGUAACGCGUAGGCAAUCUGCCUUCUAGAUGGGGACAGCAUCCCGAAAGGGGUGCUAAUACCGAAUGUUGUACCGUUUCCGCAUGGAGAUGAUACUAAAGGUGGCCUCUGAAUAUGCUACCGCUAGAAGAUGAGCCUGCGUCUGAUUAGCUAGUUGGAGGGGUAACGGCCCACCAAGGCUUCGAUCAGUAGCCGGUCUGAGAGGAUGAACGGCCACACUGGGACUGAGACACGGCCCAGACUCCUACGGGAGGCAGCAGUGGGGAAUCUUCCGCAAUGGACGAAAGUCUGACGGAGCAACGCCGCGUGAGUGAAGAAGGUUUUCGGAUCGUAAAGCUCUUUCGUUAGGGACGAACGUGCUCUUUGUGAAUAAUGAGGAGUAAUGACGGUACCUGAAUAAGAAGCCACGGCUAACUACGUGCCAGCCGCCGCGGUAA